This 1474-nucleotide ribosomal RNA is filed under the name Dickeya chrysanthemi. RNAcentral describes it as "bacterial SSU rRNA". It matches the Rfam family "Bacterial small subunit ribosomal RNA". The record is from RNAcentral. Lineage: Bacteria; Pseudomonadati; Pseudomonadota; Gammaproteobacteria; Enterobacterales; Pectobacteriaceae.
GGUUAAGGGGGCCCUAAAUGCAGUCGUGUAGGGGAUCACCCGUAAGCUUGCUCCUUGGGUGACGAGCGGCGGACGGGUGAGUAAUGUCUGGGAAACUGCCUGAUGGAGGGGGAUAACUACUGGAAACGGUAGCUAAUACCGCAUAACGUCGCAAGACCAAAGAGGGGGACCUUCGGGCCUCUUGCCAUCGGAUGUGCCCAGAUGGGAUUAGCUAGUAGGUGGGGUAAAGGCUCACCUAGGCGACGAUCCCUAGCUGGUCUGAGAGGAUGACCAGCCACACUGGAACUGAGACACGGUCCAGACUCCUACGGGAGGCAGCAGUGGGGAAUAUUGCACAAUGGGCGCAAGCCUGAUGCAGCCAUGCCGCGUGUGUGAAGAAGGCCUUCGGGUUGUAAUUUGACCGUUUACCCCGGCCAGGAAGGGAGCAGGCUUAAUACGUCUGUUCAUUGACGUUACCCGCAGAAGAAGCACCGGCUAACUCCGUGCCAGCAGCCGCGGUAAUACGGAGGGUGCAAGCGUUAAUCGGAAUGACUGGAGCGUAAAGCGCACGCAGGCGGUCUGUUAAGUUGGAAUGUGAAAAUCCCCCGGGGCUUUAACCCGGGGAACUGCAUUCCAAAACUGACAGGGCUAGAGUUUUCGUAGAAGGGGGGUAGAAUUCCCAGGUGUAGCGGUGAAAUGCGUAGAGAUCUGGAGGAAUACCGGUGGCGAAGGCGGCCCCCUGGACGAAGACUGACGCUCAGGUGCGAAAGCGUGGGGAGCAAACAGGAUUAGAUACCCUGGUAGUCCACGCUGUAAACGAUGUCGAUUUGGAGGUUGUGGUCUUGAACCGUGGCUUCCGGAGCUAACGCGUUAAAUCGACCGCCUGGGGAGUACGGCCGCAAGGUUAAAACUCAAAUGAAUUGACGGGGGCCCGCACAAGCGGUGGAGCAUGUGGUUUAAUUCGAUGCAACGCGAAGAACCUUACCUACUCUUGACAUCCACAGAAUACUGCAGAGAUGCGGGUGUGCCUUCGGGAACUCUGAAAACAGGUGCUGCAUGGCUGUCGUCAGCUCGUGUUGGGAAAUGUUGGGUUAAGUCCCGCAACGAGGCCAACCCCUUAUCCUUUGUUGCCAGCACUUCCGGGGGGGAACUCAAGGGAAGACUGCCCGGUGAUAAACCGGAAGGAAGGGUGGGGAUGAACGUCCAAGUCAACAUGGGCCCUUACGGAGGAGGGGCUACCCACCGUGCUACAAAGGGCCUUUACCAAAAGAAGCGACCUCGCGAGAGCAAGCGGACCUCAUAAAGUACGUCGUAGUCCGGAUUGGAGUCUGCAACUCGACUCCAUGAAGUCGGAAUCGCUAGUAAUCGUAGAUCAGAAUGCUACGGUGAAUACGUUCCCGGGCCUUGUACACACCGCCCGUCACACCAUGGGAGUGGGUUGCAAAAGAAGUAGGAGAGUUACGCUUACGCUGUGCGACUUUUAGUGUCCCGUAUG